GAUGAACGCUGGCGGCGUGCCUAAUACAUGCAAGUCGAGCGAACAGACGAGGAGCUUGCUCCUCUGACGUUAGCGGCGGACGGGUGAGUAACACGUGGAUAACCUACCUAUAAGACUGGGAUAACUUCGGGAAACCGGAGCUAAUACCGGAUAAUAUAUUGAACCGCAUGGUUCAAUAGUGAAAGACGGUUUUGCUGUCACUUAUAGAUGGAUCCGCGCCGGAUUAGCUAGUUGGUAAGGUAACGGCGUACCAAGGCGACGAUGCGUAGCCGACCGGAGAGGGUGAUCGGCCGCACUGGAACUGAGACACGGUCCAGGGUCCUACGGGAGGCAGCAGUAGGGAAUCUGCCGCAAUGGGCGGAAGCCUGACGGAGCAGCGCCGCGUGAGUGAUGAAGGUCUUCGGAUCGUAAAACUCUGUUAUUAGGGAAGAACAAAUGUGUAAGUAACUAUGCACGUCUUGACGGUACCUGAUCAGAAAGCCACGGCUAACUACGUG
RNAcentral lists this ribosomal RNA (497 nucleotides) under uncultured bacterium. RNAcentral's name for it is "partial 16S ribosomal RNA". It matches the Rfam family "Bacterial small subunit ribosomal RNA", at positions 28 to 507 of the family's 1533-position model. The record is from RNAcentral.